UACGUAGGUGGCAAGCGUUGUCCGGAUUUACUGGGCGUAAAGAGCGCGCAGGCGGUCGUUCAAGUCGCGUGUGAAAGCCCCCGGCUCAACUGGGGAGGGUCACGCGAUACUGAUCGACUCGAAGGCAGGAGAGGGAAGUGGAAUUCCCGGUGUAGUGGUGAAAUGCGUAGAUAUCGGGAGGAACACCAGAGGUGAAGACGGGUUGCUGGGCUGACACUGACGCUGAGGCGCGAAAGCCAGGGGAGCAAACGGG
RNAcentral lists this ribosomal RNA (253 nucleotides) under uncultured bacterium. Its description in RNAcentral is "partial 16S ribosomal RNA". It matches the Rfam family "Bacterial small subunit ribosomal RNA", at positions 524 to 776 of the family's 1533-position model. The record is from RNAcentral.